GACCGCGUAGCUCAGUUGGAAGAGCAAUCAUUGGCGUAGUAUUCCAAAGAUCGUAGAUUCGAAUCCCACCGUGGCCG
Paramuricea clavata is the source of this 77-nucleotide non-coding RNA. The record is from the annotation of a GenBank genome assembly. Lineage: Eukaryota; Metazoa; Cnidaria; Anthozoa; Malacalcyonacea; Plexauridae.